GAGAGCGGGCAGGAAUCGACUUCAGCACAAACCUCAGAUGGUGAUGAGGAAAGUAAACCUGGCAAUAAGGAUGACACAAAUGCCAACGUCCCAGCUGGCCCGCCACCCAAAAGGUCUACCAGGAGCCAGACCAUUGCUGCAUGUGACAGACUCACAAUUUACUUCCAUGCUGUUCUCUCAAAGGAUUUCAAAUUUGAUCAAAAUGAAGAUCGUAUCUUUGUCAGGGCUGGGCUCUGCAUUGGGACGUGGGAAGACAAUGCAGUUGAGCUGUCAGUGAUCAGGGAUCUUGGAGAACAUGGGUUCCUGGUUGAAGGCAGUCUGGUGACAAA
Monopterus albus (swamp eel) is the source of this 329-nucleotide long non-coding RNA. RefSeq lists it as uncharacterized. The record is from RefSeq and is a predicted model, not a curated record. The transcript is spliced from 3 exons. Lineage: Eukaryota; Metazoa; Chordata; Actinopteri; Synbranchiformes; Synbranchidae.